GGAAUUCGAUUCGGGUGUGACAAGGCCCGGGAACGUAUUCACCGCGGCGUGCUGAUCCGCGAUUACUAGCGAUUCCAACUUCACGCAGGCGAGUUGCAGCCUACGAUCCGAACUGAGACCGACUUUCUCCGAUUAGCUCCACCUUACGGUAUCGCGACGGUUUGUAUCGGCCAUUGUAGCACGUGUGUAGCCCCAGACAUAAAGGCCAUGCUGACUUGACGUCAUCCCCACCUUCCUCCGGUUUAUCACCGGCAGUCUUUGCAGAGUGCCCACCAUAACGUGAUGGCAACAGCAAACAAGGGUUGCGCUCGUUGCGGGACUUAACCCAACAUCUCACGACACAAGCUGACGACAGCCAUGCAGCACCUCUACGAGUGUCCUUGCGGAAGGCCCCUUUCGGAGCUGGUCACUCGCUGUUCAAGCCUGGGUAAGGUUCUUCGCGUUAAUCACUA
RNAcentral lists this ribosomal RNA (452 nucleotides) under uncultured soil bacterium. Its description in RNAcentral is "partial 16S ribosomal RNA". The record is from RNAcentral.